UUUUAUCGCCUCUGGUGAGAGGUUGAGGUGACUGAGAAGAUGAUCUGCUGGUGUACCACCAGCAGUGUGGAGUCUCAUUAACUCCAGAAGAGCGGAGGAGGCAGAGAGAGCGAAAAAGAAAGAAUACAGAAGAAAGAGGGAGAGAGAGAGUGGACUCAUGCUGCAGAUUCUCUGACAGUCUCCACAUGGGCUUUGCAGUGCCCAGUGGAAUGUGGAGGAAACAUCAUAUACUGAAGACCCAGUGAAGAGUCAACUGACGCUCAGUUGUGACUGACGUCAGUAAUUCUGCAAGUGUAGGCAUGCAGAAGCAACAUAAAGAAACACACAAUCGAAUGCAGGCAGAAACACAAACACAAAACGUGAAUGCCUUUGCCGACCAGCUGCGCGCACCAGCAAAGGACAAGCAUCUACCGGCUGCGGGAGCCGAGGUGUUCUGUCCUGUGGUUCAUCCAUCCGACCCAUGGGCUCUUUUGGCUUGGCUCCACGUGGCACAAAAGGGCCGCAGCAUUCCUGAUGUCGGCAGCUAAUCUGCGGUGUCAGCUCGUGUUAAUGCCGCGCUGCCAAAUCUGAGGGCGCACAGGGCCGUGGAAUAUUAAAAACCCCACCAACGGAAUUCCUUCAGAGGACGGAGGAGGGCAGGGCACGGGCCGGUGAGGGGAUUAGAACAAGGCUUGGGAUCAGCUAAGAUUGAAUGCUGAGUGGUGGGCGGGCAGAGUUUACUGUAACGAAUGUGAG
Esox lucius (northern pike) is the source of this 735-nucleotide long non-coding RNA. NCBI's taxonomy places the organism in Eukaryota, Metazoa, Chordata, Actinopteri, Esociformes, Esocidae. The record is from Ensembl.